RNAcentral lists this ribosomal RNA (376 nucleotides) under uncultured bacterium. RNAcentral describes it as "bacterial SSU rRNA". It matches the Rfam family "Bacterial small subunit ribosomal RNA", at positions 28 to 402 of the family's 1533-position model. The record is from RNAcentral.
GACGAACGCUGGCGGCGUGCUUAACACAUGCAAGUGGAGCGACGAACCGGGGCUUGCCCCGGGGCAGAGCCGCGAACGGGUGAGUAACACGUGGGUAACCCACCCCGAUGACCGGGACAACCCGAGGAAACUCGGGCUAAUACCGGAUGUGCUCCUUGACCUCGAGGUCACGGCGUAAAGAUAGCUUCGGCCUUCGCAUCGGGACGGCCCGCGGCCCAUUAGCUUGUGGUGGGUAACGCCUACCAAGGCGACGANGGGUAGCUGGUCUGAGAGGACGAUCAGCCACACUGGGACUGAGACACGGCCCAGACUCCUACGGGAGGCAGCAGUGGGGAAUCUGCGCAAUGCGCGAAAGCGUGACGCAGCAACGCCGCGU